Molecule: ribosomal RNA, 497 nt
Filed under: uncultured bacterium
Lineage: Bacteria
Description: partial 16S ribosomal RNA
Rfam family: Bacterial small subunit ribosomal RNA
Source: RNAcentral
GACGAACGAGGGAGGAGGGAAGAAUACAUGCAAGUAGAACGCUGAAGAGAGGAGCUUGCUCUUCUUGGAUGAGUUGCGAACGGGUGAGUAACGCGUAGGUAACCUGCCUUGUAGCGGGGGAUAACUAUUGGAAACGAUAGCUAAUACCGCAUAACAAUGGAUGACACAUGUCAUUUAUUUGAAAGGGGCAAUUGCUCCACUACAAGAUGGACCUGCGUUGUAUUAGCUAGUAGGUGAGGUAAUGGCUCACCUAGGCGACGAUACAUAGCCGACCUGAGAGGGUGAUCGGCCACACUGGGACUGAGACACGGCCCAGACUCCUACGGGAGGCAGCAGUAGGGAAUCUUCGGCAAUAGGGGCAACCCUGACCGAGCAACGCCGCGUGAGUGAAGAAGGUUUUCGGAUCGUAAAGCUCUGUUGUAAGUCAAGAACGGGUGUGAGAGUGGAAAGUUCACACUGUGACGGUAGCUUACCAGAAAGGGACGGCUAACUACGUG